CCCUUAGAUGUUCUGGGCCGCAUGCGUGCUACACUGAGUGGAUCAGCGGGUCAGGUUGCGCGAAAGUGUUUCCUAAUCUUUAAAUCCGCUCGUGAUGGGGAUUGACGGUUGCAAUUUUCCGUCAUGAACGAGGAAUACCUUGUAAGCGCGGGUCAUCAUCCCGCGCUGAAUACGUCCCUGCCCUUUGUACACACCGCCCGUCGCUCCUACCGAUUGAGUGGUCCGGUGAGGCUUUGGGAUCUGAGCGGAAAGAGCGUUUCGCUGUUUCUGCCCGGAAAACUCAGUCGAACCUUAUCAUUUAGAGGAAGGAGAAGUCGUAACA
Molecule: ribosomal RNA, 322 nt
Filed under: uncultured eukaryote
Lineage: Eukaryota
Description: partial 18S ribosomal RNA
Rfam family: Eukaryotic small subunit ribosomal RNA
Source: RNAcentral